CCUACGGGCGGCAGCAGUGGGGAAUAUUGGACAAUGGGCGAAAGCCUGAUCCAGCCAUGCCGCGUGUGUGAAGAAGGCCGUCGGGUUGUAAAGCACUUUCAGUGGGGAAGAAAGCCUUGGGGCUAAUACCCUCGAGGAAGGACAUCACCCACAGAAGAAGCACCGGCUAACUCCGUGCCAGCAGCCGCGGUAAUACGGAGGGUGCGAGCGUUAAUCGGAAUUACUGGGCGUAAAGCGCGCGUAGGCGGUCUGAUAAGCCGGUUGUGAAAGCCCCGGGCUCAACCUGGGAACGGCAUCCGGAACUGUCAGGCUAGAGUGCAGGAGAGGAAGGUAGAAUUCCCGGUGUAGCGGUGAAAUGCGUAGAGAUCGGGAGGAAUACCAGUGGCGAAGGCGGCCUUCUGGACUGACACUGACGCUGAGGUGCGAAAGCGUGGGUAGCAAACAGGAUUAGAUACCCUGGUAGU
RNAcentral lists this ribosomal RNA (464 nucleotides) under Vreelandella stevensii. Its description in RNAcentral is "partial 16S ribosomal RNA". It matches the Rfam family "Bacterial small subunit ribosomal RNA", at positions 338 to 794 of the family's 1533-position model. The record is from RNAcentral. Lineage: Bacteria; Pseudomonadati; Pseudomonadota; Gammaproteobacteria; Oceanospirillales; Halomonadaceae.